GGUUAAGAUACAUCUUCCCACUUACCAUGGCUCGAAAUUUGCCACAAUUAUGGAGGUUGGAUAUAUCUGACUGCGAGGAAUUGGAGCAAAUAAUCGAGUAGGAUCGAACUUCAUCACAACCUCAUCUCCAAGCUGUUUGCUUUCCAAAUCUGAUUUGGAUUACAAUUAGGAACUGUGAAAAUUUGAAAUGUCUCUUCCCAAUUACUCUUGGUCAUAGCGGCCUUCAAAAACUGGAAAAUAUAAUCUUUGGGAGGGUUUCCAAAUUAGAACCGGUGUUUGAAGGAGAUGAGCCAAAUGUGAGUAAGGAGGAAGAGAAAGUGAUACACCUACUUCGAUUAACCGACUUACAGCUUGAUGGGCUACCAAACCUCGUGAGCUUCGGCCCUGUGGGUUAUCAUUUUGUUUUCCAAUCUUUGUUGAUUUUGCGAGUAGUAGAUUGUCCCAACAUAACCACAAGAUUUAGUUUUGAUUCGGAGAAAUCAGUGCAUGCCAAAACACAGGCAUGCCACUUAGUUGAUGAAAUUAUAGUGGAGGAAUCUGCUACAGCCCAAGAAACUAGAUGGCCAAUUGGUAGUGAUAUACAUUGGUUGAAACAUAUUUAAAGAUGGUGGAAUGAAAAAGUCACUGCUCUAGUAGAGCUUUCUGAAUAGGAAAAUGAAUGGAGAAGUAAAUGAAGUCAGUUCUAUUUAAGGAGUUAAUUUCAAAACUCAUCAUUGUGAAUGUUUAAAUUGAAUGCCAUUUAUUGGUUAAGUCA
Molecule: long non-coding RNA, 754 nt
Organism: Gossypium arboreum
Lineage: Eukaryota; Viridiplantae; Streptophyta; Magnoliopsida; Malvales; Malvaceae
Exons: 2
Source: RefSeq, a predicted model, not a curated record